GUGCAGCAGUCGCGAAACUUUACAAUGUGCGAAAGCACGAUAAGGGAACUCUGAGUGCCUCCUAAGGAGGCUGUUCAGGUGUCUAAAAGCACCUGAAGGAAGGGCUGGGUAAGACCGGUGCCAGCCGCCGCGGUAACACCGGCAGCCCAAGUGGUAGCCACGUUUAUUGGGUCUAAAGCGUCCGUAGCCGGCUGGGUAAGUUCCUUGGGAAAUUUGGCUGCUUAACAGUCAAGCUUUCAGGGAAUACUGCCCGGCUUGGGACCGGGAGAGGUCAGAGGUACUCCAGGGGUAGGGGUGAAAUCCAUUAAUCCUUGGGGGACCACCGGUAGCGAAGGCGUCUGACCAGACCGGGUCCGACGGUGAGGGACGAAGGCUAGGGGCGCGAACCGGAUUAGAUACCCC
RNAcentral lists this ribosomal RNA (402 nucleotides) under uncultured microorganism. RNAcentral describes it as "bacterial SSU rRNA". It matches the Rfam family "Archaeal small subunit ribosomal RNA", at positions 330 to 739 of the family's 1478-position model. The record is from RNAcentral.